GAUGAACGCUGGCGGCGUGCCUAAUACAUGCAAGUCGAGCGAACGGACGAGAAGCUUGCUUCUCUGAUGUUAGCGGCGGACGGGUGAGUAACACGUGGAUAACCUACCUAUAAGACUGGGAUAACUUCGGGAAACCGGAGCUAAUACCGGAUAAUAUUUUGAACCGCAUGGGUCAAAAGUAAAAGACGGUCUUGCUGGCACUUAUAGAUGGAUCCGCGCUGCAUUAGCUAGUUGGUAAGGUAACGGCUUACCAAGGCAACGAUGCAUAGCCGACCUGAGAGGGUGAUCGGCCACCCUGGAACUGAGACACGGUCCAGACUCCUACGGGAGGCAGCAGUAGGGAAUCUUCCGCAAUGGGCGAAAGCCUGACGGAGCAACGCCGCGUGAGUGAUGAAGGUCUUCGGAUCGUAAAACUCUGUUAUUAGGGAAGAACAUAUGUGUAAGUAACUGUGCACAUCUUGACGGUACCUAAUCAGAAAGCCCCGGCUAACUACGUG
RNAcentral lists this ribosomal RNA (497 nucleotides) under uncultured bacterium. Its description in RNAcentral is "partial 16S ribosomal RNA". It matches the Rfam family "Bacterial small subunit ribosomal RNA", at positions 28 to 507 of the family's 1533-position model. The record is from RNAcentral.